GCUGGCGGCGUGCCUAAUACAUGCAAGUCGAACGAGUUCUCGUUGAUGAUCGGUGCUUGCACCGAGAUUCAACAUGGAACGAGUGGCGGACGGGUGAGUAACACGUGGGUAACCUGCCCUUAAGUGGGGGAUAACAUUUGGAAACAGAUGCUAAUACCGCAUAGAUCCAAGAACCGCAUGGUUCUUGGCUGAAAGAUGGCGUAAGCUAUCGCUUUUGGAUGGACCCGCGGCGUAUUAGCUAGUUGGUGAGGUAAUGGCUCACCAAGGCGAUGAUACGUAGCCGAACUGAGAGGUUGAUCGGCCACAUUGGGACUGAGACACGGCCCAAACUCCUACGGGAGGCAGCAGUAGGGAAUCUUCCACAAUGGACGCAAGUCUGAUGGAGCAACGCCGCGUGAGUGAAGAAGGCUUUCGGGUCGUAAAACUCUGUUGUUGGAGAAGAAUGGUCGGCAGAGUAACUGUUGUCGGCGUGACGGUAUCCAACCAGAAAGCCACGGCUAACUACGUGCCAGCAGCCGCGGUAAUACGUAGGUGGCAAGCGUUAUCCGGAUUUAUUGGGCGUAAAGCGAGCGCAGGCGGUUUUUUAAGUCUGAUGUGAAAGCCCUCGGCUUAACCGAGGAAGCGCAUCGGAAACUGGGAAACUUGAGUGCAGAAGAGGACAGUGGAA
This 667-nucleotide ribosomal RNA is filed under the name Lacticaseibacillus paracasei. Its description in RNAcentral is "bacterial SSU rRNA". It matches the Rfam family "Bacterial small subunit ribosomal RNA", at positions 35 to 666 of the family's 1533-position model. Lineage: Bacteria; Bacillati; Bacillota; Bacilli; Lactobacillales; Lactobacillaceae. The record is from RNAcentral.